RNAcentral lists this ribosomal RNA (251 nucleotides) under Pirellulaceae bacterium. Its description in RNAcentral is "partial 23S ribosomal RNA". It matches the Rfam family "Bacterial large subunit ribosomal RNA", at positions 2662 to 2925 of the family's 2925-position model. The record is from RNAcentral. Lineage: Bacteria; Pseudomonadati; Planctomycetota; Planctomycetia; Pirellulales; Pirellulaceae.
UUGAGAGGAGUUGCCCCUAGUACGAGAGGACCGGGGUGAACGAUCCACUGGUGGACCUGUUGUUGCGCCAGCAGCAGUGCAGGGUAGCUAUGAUCGGACAGGAUAACCGCUGAAGGCAUCUAAGCGGGAAGCCCCCCUCAAAACAAGGUAUCCCUGAGGGCCGUGGAAGACCACCACGUCGAUAGGCCGGAGAUGUAAGCAUGGUAACAUGUUCAGUUGACCGGUACUAAUGGCUCGAUAGGCUUGGUUUG